UUACAAGAAGAUGAAAGACAAACAGUAC
RNAcentral lists this small RNA (28 nucleotides) under Bombyx mori (domestic silkworm). RNAcentral describes it as "ovarian small RNA-36413". The record is from RNAcentral. Lineage: Eukaryota; Metazoa; Arthropoda; Insecta; Lepidoptera; Bombycidae.